GUACCCAACGAGUCACACUUGACCUCAUAGUUAAUGAGCAAGAAAAUCUCUCUCUUACCUCAUAGUUAAUCGACCCGAUGGUGUGAGCCUACACCGCUAGUCCAACGUGCAUGUGACUAGUCUCCCGCUCUAUAAGUAAGGUAGUGCCACACUUCUGCGUUCGGAACGGCACCCGGAGUGCCGGCUGGGCCGCCGGGGCCAGCUUCUUCAAUUCGCGCAGCGCAGCUAGUUAGGGAGGGGAAAGCUUGAAAACCGGGCCCGAGACGGUGCCGACGGGCUAACGGGCGGUGGGUGUGUGGUUGCGGCCGCGUUUGGAUGUUCAUUUUGAGAGAGGCGGGCAGUGGUGCCUAGUGGGUCGAAGAAAAAAGUCCGCUAGGCUCCAACGAAGCAGAGGUGCUGGGAAGGAAGCCGGUGCAUGCCUCCGAAGAUGGGGGUACAGGCAGCGCAGGCGAAGGCGCCGGCGGGAGGCCAGGAGCAGGCCGGCGGCGACACCGCAGCCUUGACCGGAGUUGCCUCCGUUGUUCAAAGACUACUACGUCUCCUCCCUGGAGCAGUGGUUCCCCCAGCGCGAGAGGCAGACGAGGAGCGACGAGCGGAGGAGGUGAAGGUUGCCGCGGCGACGUGUUCGUAACCUCUCCGACGGCAAGUUCCGCCUGCCCAUGUCGAAGACCUGCACCUCCCCGGCGUUCUAUGUGAUGCACCUCGUUCCCAGGCCCGUCGGGUAGCACGAGUAGGUGCCGAAGCCGCGCAGCCGCAAGGUGACCUCCAUGUUGUAGGGCCUCGACCGGUUCUUCAUGUUCCACAUGCGGCACCUGGACGACCCGAAGCCGACCUCGCUCUUCCGCGACCACGUCAUGCUGCGGUGGUAGACCUACCUCGUCCAGAGGCUGAAGGAGUCCCUCCAGCAGGUCAGCGGUAGGCAGCAGCAGCCGUUGUCGAAUCCACCGAAGUGCUGCGACAAGCGGCGCUGCCUCCACGGCCUCGACCAGGCCCCGCAGCACGACGAGUUGAGGCGGCCGGUCAAGCCCCUGGGGUUGCGCGGCGGGUUCCGACUUCUCCGCCGCCACCGCCUCCUCCUCCGCUCGCGCCACUGCUCCGAGUAGCACUCCGGCGAGUUCCUCCGGAAGGUCGCCCAGCACGAGCCCAAGGAGAAGACCGUCCGGUUCGUCGGCCGGUCCCAGCUCUUUCAGGAGUUUUCGCACAUGUUUCUAGGCUCGUUGCACCUGCUCAUGGACUAGUCGAGCUAGUGCCGCGGUUGCCGGCUGGGCUUGCGGCCGCUCCACAUGAUGUCCGAGUACAGCGCCAAGCACCGCUUGGUCUCGGUCAUGUGCGACCUGUUCGACGACCCCUUCGACUGCACGGGCGACGACGACGACACCCCCCUGGACCUGGGCACCCAGCCGGGCAGGUUCCGCCGCGCCUAGGUGCUCAAGAUGCGGUUGAGGUGGCAGCAGUUGGACGUCCGGCCCGUGACGGGCGUGCUGCUCCGCGGCCUCGUCAAGUUGCGCCGCGACGAGGUCACCGAGCGCAGUGACCUCCUCCUCCGGCCGCUGUUCGGCCGGCUCGGGUCGGAGGUCCAGCACACUAAGAACAUGGAACAAUCUGAUACAUAUCGAAGACAUGGAUACAUGCAUAUACCAUGUAUAACAUUGUGUUGGUAAUAUAUAUUACUCUAUUCGGUGGGAAUCUCCUAACACGACUAAGGGGUUUUGAAUAACAGA
This 1721-nucleotide ribosomal RNA is filed under the name Triticum aestivum (bread wheat). RNAcentral describes it as "partial small subunit ribosomal RNA". Lineage: Eukaryota; Viridiplantae; Streptophyta; Magnoliopsida; Poales; Poaceae. The record is from RNAcentral.